This 543-nucleotide ribosomal RNA is filed under the name uncultured bacterium. Its description in RNAcentral is "bacterial SSU rRNA". It matches the Rfam family "Bacterial small subunit ribosomal RNA", at positions 778 to 1314 of the family's 1533-position model. The record is from RNAcentral.
AAUGAUACCCCGGUAGUCCACGCCGUAAACGGUGGGCACUAGGUGUGGGCGACAUUCCACGUCGUCCGUGCCGCAGCUAACGCAUUAAGUGCCCCGCCUGGGGAGUACGGCCGCAAGGCUAAAACUUAAAGGAAUUGACGGGGGCCCGCACAAGCGGCGGAGCAUGUGGCUUAAUUCGACGCAACGCGAAGAACCUUACCAAGGCUUGACAUACACCGGAAACGUCCAGAGAUGGGCGCCCCCUUGUGGUCGGUGUACAGGUGGUGCAUGGCUGUCGUCAGCUCGUGUCGUGAGAUGUUGGGUUAAGUCCCGCAACGAGCGCAACCCUUGUCCCGUGUUGCCAGCAGGCCCUUGUGGUGCUGGGGACUCACGGGAGACCGCCGGGGUCAACUCGGAGGAAGGUGGGGACGACGUCAAGUCAUCAUGCCCCUUAUGUCUUGGGCUGCACACGUGCUACAAUGGCCGGUACAAUGAGCUGCGAUACCGCGAGGUGGAGCGAAUCUCAAAAAGCCGGUCUCAGUUCGGAUUGGGGUCUGCAACUCG